RNAcentral lists this long non-coding RNA (389 nucleotides) under Cyanistes caeruleus (blue tit). Its description in RNAcentral is "lncRNA (ENSCCEG00000011721.1)". Lineage: Eukaryota; Metazoa; Chordata; Aves; Passeriformes; Paridae. The record is from RNAcentral.
UUUUCCCACCUUAUCAAAUCUCCAAAGGCAUCCCAAACUCACCUAUGGCUUACCUCCAUGGUAAGGGGCGAACAGACUUAUGGAAGGCUUAAAUGGCACAGGACCAUGGUUUUCUCUCCUCCUUUUGCUUGACUGGCCAACAGCUGAAUUCAGAAUGAACAAAUCAGCUCAGACAUAAGGACCCAAAAAUAUCAAAAUAGAGGACCCCUGGGCAGAGCCCUCCUGUUCCUACAGGUCUCCACCCUCAGUGUGGAGGGAAAGAGAGGGGCUGAGGGAAGCGUCUGAUGGAAAUGAAAUCCAAGCAAUCACACACUGAGGAAGACACUGCAUUGAAUGGGAGUCCAACAGGGUACCUGGUGCCCUUUUAGCACCCACCUGCAGCACUUCAC